GACGAACCGUGCGAACGUUAUUCGGAAUCACUGGGCUUAAAGCGCGUGUAGGCGGGCCGGCACGUCGGUCGCUGAAAUCCCCCGGCUCAACCGGGGAAGGGGCGCCGAUACGACCGGCCUGGAGGGGGGUAGGGGGCGCUGGAACUCACGGUGGAGCGGUGAAAUGCGUUGAGAUCGUGAGGAACGCCCGCGGCGAAAGCGAGCGCAUGGACCCUUUCUGACGCUGAGACGCGAAAGCCAGGGGAGCGAACGGG
This 254-nucleotide ribosomal RNA is filed under the name uncultured bacterium. RNAcentral's name for it is "partial 16S ribosomal RNA". It matches the Rfam family "Bacterial small subunit ribosomal RNA", at positions 524 to 776 of the family's 1533-position model. The record is from RNAcentral.